This 428-nucleotide ribosomal RNA is filed under the name uncultured Cafeteria. RNAcentral's name for it is "sp. partial Bacterial large subunit ribosomal RNA". It matches the Rfam family "Bacterial large subunit ribosomal RNA", at positions 22 to 505 of the family's 2925-position model. Lineage: Eukaryota; Bigyra; Bicosoecida; Cafeteriaceae. The record is from RNAcentral.
UUGGUGAAUGCCUUGGCGUAUGGAGGCGAUGAAGGACGUGACAGGCUGCGAAAAGCUGUGGUGAGGUGCCAGUAACCUUUGACCCACAGAUAUCCGAAUGGGGAAACCCACCCUUUUAGGGUAUCAUGUAGUGAAUACAUAGCUGCAUGAGGCGAACCCGGCGAACUGAAACAUCUAAGUAGCCGGAGGAAAAGACAUCAACAGAGAUUCCCCCAGUAGUGGCGAGCGAACGGGGACCAGGCCAGUGUUAUCUUCAGAUCUACCGGAACCAUCUGGAAAGUUGGACCAUAGUAGGUGAUAGUCCUGUACGGGAAAGAAAAGAAGAUAGCCUCGAGUAGGGCGGGACACGUGAAAUCCUGUCUGAACAUGGGAGGACCACCUUCCAAGCCUAAAUACUACCAUACGACCGAUAGUGAACCAGUACCGUG